CUUAGGCUUCUGUUUCACACUUCCGACGGCUCUCCCAUAGGCAGCACUGUCCUGGACUCUCUCCAGACAUAGUCUAUUGAGAUUUUGGCCGUGACUUUGCUUCCCAUCCAUUCUCUUUCCAACUUGCUGGUCCCAGGAGGCUGCCAAGCAGGGACCAGCACCUUCCGGUGUGUUUCUAACCCCAGGAAUCGACGGAUUCGUCUUCUUCACCGGGUCAUGCAGAGGCAGCUGUGAAUUCACUAGUUUUGUAUAACGCCAAAUUUAUUUAGCAAUCUGUAGGAGAAUCAACAUCUUGGACAUGUGUUUCAUUUUAGCAUGCCGGGUGAAGAAGGAGCCUCCUGGGAUUCCAUUUUGAUACAGGGCAGCCAUCCCAGACCUCACUUUUUUUUUACAGCCAGUUGUAGCUGCUCACCAGUGCUCUCCUCACACCAGGCAAGGGCUGCGAUCCUAUGUUCUUGGCAACUGAACUGAACCACAUGUAUGAUGUUACUUGUACAGCUUGAAAAUGCAUCUAAGAUUUUGUGUAUGGCCAGCUUCUGAAUGAACAUUCAAUAUGGUUAAAUAAGAACAAAGUGGAAUGAACAUGUUCCAUUACUAACUCUUCAGGGUCGGGGCACACAGGGAAUUCAUUUUCUUGAGUAGGACUGUUCAACUGCAUCAAAGCGACCCCACAGUUGUAUGGGGCAUUGGUUUCUUACUGAGGCUCUUGUUCAUUCUGUUGGUUUUACAGUUCUACCUGCCCAAUCCUGGGACCUCAAGAGCAAGCUUUGGGUGUCACCUAGGGCACGUUUGUGGGUGGGGCUAGAGAGAACCUGUCUUUACCAAUUAUCACGUUAUUCUCUUGGGUCAGGUCAUGCUGAUAAAUCCAGAAGUGCACUAGGUGUUUUUAGCCUCUACAAAUGGUAAUAGCCACAUUUUCUGCCUUCUGCAUGAAGUGACAGAUUUAGAUACGGGGCAGUAAAAAGUACACUAUUAAAAAAAAUCUGAACACGCGAUGAAAGAUCUCAACCCUUCAAAAGCACAAGUCUAAGAAGUAUUUGUGCUCAACACUGGGGAAAGCAGUGAAAAACAAAUUCAUGCUAUCAAGAGACUUUGGGUCACUCAUUAAGCACCAACUACAGCAGGGUCUUAGCACAAAGCUUGCCCAGAGAGGCAAACUCUAAAGUACUUACGUAGAGUCAGUGUCUUUCUCUUUCUUCCGUAUUCCAAAGGCCUUCCUUGUGCGUUUUUUCAGUCCUGUGGGAAGAUAGCAAAGGGUCAGAAAGCAGCCAGCAGCACAGGUAUCCUGGAAGGGGCAGCCAGGCCUGGUGACCUCUACCACACACACGACUCCAGAAACAGAGGCCAGGGACUUCAAAUUCAAUGUUCCUUCUUUGCUACAGAGUGAAUUCAAGGUCAGUUUGGGCAACUUUGUGAAGCCA
Non-coding RNA from Myodes glareolus (Bank vole), 1421 nucleotides. NCBI's taxonomy places the organism in Eukaryota, Metazoa, Chordata, Mammalia, Rodentia, Cricetidae. The record is from RefSeq and is a predicted model, not a curated record.